AAAACCAAAAAAAAAAAAAAAAAAUCGAACUGAGACGAAAUGGCAGAGAGCGUUAUUACCAUCACUACUACCAUUGCUGAAAAAAUUGCAGGCUACUUGGUUGCUCCAAUUGGACGCCGGCUUAGUUAUCUGUUUUGCUACCGCAGCCACAUGGAUGAUCUCAACAACAAGGUUCAAGAGUUGGGGCUUGUGAGGGGCGACCUUCAGAUUACUGUUGAUGAAGCUAUUAGAAGAGGGGAUGAAAUCAGACCUAUUGUUGAAGACUGGUUGACUCGGGCAGACGAGAAUACAGGAGAGGCAAAGACAUUCAUGGAAGAUGAAAAGAAAAGAACCAAGAGCUGUUUCUAUGGGUGGUGUCCUAAUCUCAAGUCACGUUACCAGCUAGGCAGAGAAGCAGACAAGAAGGCGCAGGUUAUUGUCGAAAUCCAACAACACCGCAAUUUCCCAGAUGGCGUAUCAUAUCGUGUCCCUCCACGGAAUGUAACCUUUAAAAAUUAUGAACCUUUUAAGUCAAGAGCCUCGACUGUGAAUCAAGUUAUGGAUGCAUUAAGAGAUGAUAAGAUCGACAAGAUUGGGGUAUGGGGCAUGGGCGGUGUGGGCAAAACCACGCUGGUCAAACAAGUGGCUCAACUAGCUGAAGAUGAGAAGCUGUUCACCGCAGGAGUCUACAUAGAUGUAUCCUGGACUCGAGAUUUGGAAAAACUUCAAGAAGGAAUUGCUAAAAUUCAACAAAAAAUUGCAGACAUGUUGGGCUUGGAAUUUAAGGGGAAGGAUGAAUCCACAAGAGCAGUUGAACUGAAGCAGAGACUGCAGAAAGAGAAGAUCCUUAUCAUCUUAGAUGACAUUUGGAAGUUAGUUUGUUUGGAGGAAGUUGGAAUUCCUUCUAAAGAUGACCAGAAAGGAUGCAAAAUAGUGUUGGCUUCUAGAAAUGAGGACCUAUUACGCAAAGACAUGGGCGCAAGGGUAUGUUUUCCACUUCAACAUCUACCAAAAGAAGAAGCUUGGCAUUUAUUUAAGAAGACAGCAGGUGAUUCUGUGGAGGGGGAUAAACUGCGACCCAUAGCAAUUGAGGUAGUUAACGAAUGUGAGGGUCUACCAAUUGCAAUUGUAACAAUUGCAAAUGCAUUAAAAGAUGAAAGUGUGGCUGUAUGGGAGAAUGCUUUGGACGAACUGAGGAGUGCUGCGCCAACAAACAUCAGCGGAGUGGAUGACAGGGUAUACGGAUGUCUGAAGUGGAGCUACAACCAUUUGAAAGGUGAUGAAGUCAAGUCAUUGUUCUUACUUUGUGGUUGGUUGAGCUAUGGCGAUAUUUCAAUGCAUCAAUUGUUGCAGUAUGCUAUGGGUUUGGAUUUGUUUGACCACCUCAAGUCAUUGGAGCAAGCAAGAAAUAAACUAGUUACAUUGGUGAGAAUCCUCAAGGCCUCAAGCUUGUUACUUGACGGUGAAGGUCAUAGAGACGAUUUUGGAGGAGCCUCAAGGUUGCUUUUCAUGGAUGCUGAUAACAGGUCUGUCAGGAUGCAUGAUGUUGUUCGUGAUGUUGCCAGAAAUAUUGCAUCCAAGGAUCCUCAUCGAUUUGUAGUCAGAGAAGAUGUUGAAGAAUGGUCAGAGACUGAUGGAUCCAAAUACAUCUCUUUAAAUUGCAAAGAUGUGCAUGAGCUUCCUCACAGGUUGGUAGGUCCGAAACUUCAAUUUUUUCUAUUGCAGAACGGUCCUUCCUUGAAAAUCCCACACAAAUUUUUUGAAGGGGUGAACCUACUCAAAGUUUUAGACUUGUCUGAAAUGCAUUUCACAACACUACCUCCAACGCUUCAUUCCCUUCCAAAUCUUCGAACAUUACGUCUAGACAGGUGCGAGUUGGGAGACAUAGCUCUAAUUGGAGAGCUAAAGAAACUACAAGUUCUUAGCAUGGUGGGUUCCGAUAUUCAACAAUUGCCUAGUGAAAUGGGACAGUUGACAAAUCUAAGGUGGUUGGAUUUGAAUUAUUGUAAGCAGCUUAAAGUAAUUCCACGAAAUAUCUUAUCAAGCCUGUCUCGAUUAGAAUGUUUGUGCAUGAAAUCUAGCUUUACUCAAUGGGCAGCUGAAGGAGUUAGUGAUGGAGAAAGCAAUGCUUGUUUAUCGGAGCUGAAUAAUUUGCGUCAUUUGACAACUAUAGAGAUACAAGUACCAGCUGUCAAGUUGCUACCAAAAGAAGACAUGUUCUUUGAGAACUUGACAAGAUAUGCGAUAUUUGUAGGCAAAUUUCAUCCGAGGGAAACAAAUUAUAAAACAUCAAAAACAUUAAGGCUCAGACAGGUUGAUAGAAGCUCACUUUUAAGGGAUGGAAUUGACAAGUUGUUGAAGAAAACUGAAGAACUAAAGUUGAGUAAAUUGGAAAAAGUAUGUCGUGGCCCAAUUCCCAUAAGGUCUUUGGAUAACCUUAAAACUUUAGAUGUGGAGGAAUGUCAUGGAUUGAAAUUUCUCUUUUUACUUUCCACAACCAGAGGCCUUUCCCAAUUAGAAGAAAUGACAAUAGAAGAUUGCAAUGCCAUGCAGCAAAUAAUCGCAUGUGAAGGGGAGUUCGAAAUAAAAGAAGUUGAUCAUGUUGGGACCAACUUGCAGUUGCUCCCUAAAUUACGAUUUUUAAAACUUAAGAGACUACCGAAGCUCAUGAACUUCGAUUACUUCAGCUCUGAUUUGGAAACGACAUCACAAGGAAUGUGUUCCCAAGGCAAUCUUGAUAUCCACAUGCCAUUUUUCAGUUAUCAGGUUUCAUUCCCUAAUUUGAAGAAGUUGGAAUUCAGUCAUCUUCCCAAAUUGAAGGAGAUAUGGCAUCACCAACCUUCACUUGAGUCAUUCUACAAUUUGGAGAUCCUUGAAGUGUACCAUUGUUCAUGUUUGCUUAAUCUUAUCCCAUCUUAUUUGAUACAAAGGUUCAACAAUUUGAAAAAGAUAGGCGUCUAUGGCUGCAAAGUCCUAGAAUAUGCGUUUGAUCUUCAAGGACUUGAUGAAAAUGUUGAAAUCCUGCCAAAGUUAGAAACCUUGGAGUUACGAACACUACCUAGGCUAAGGUAUAUUAUAUGCAAUGAGGACAAGAAUGAUGGUAUGAGGUGUCUUUUCUCUUCUCCAAUGCUCAUGGAUUUUCAAAACCUCAAAUGUCUAUCCAUCAAAAAUUGUGCAUACGAAAACAAUGAAGAGAGACAUGUUAAUACUCCUAUAGAAGAUAUAGUGCUCUUCGGCGAAAAGGUUUCAUUCCCUAACUUAGAGGAGUUAAAACUUGUUGAUCUUCCCAAGUUGAAGAUGAUAUGGCAUCACCAACUUUCACUUGAAUUCUUCUGCAAGUUACGAAUAUUAAGUGUGCAUAAUUGUCCAUGUCUAGUCAAUCUUGUUCCAUCUCAUUUGAUACAGAGCUUCCAAAAUUUGAAAGAGGUAAAUGUGUAUGAUUGUGAAGCCCUAGAAUCUGUGUUUGAUUAUCGAGGAUUUAAUGGAGAUGGUGGAAUCCUCUCAAAAAUAGAAAUAUUGACGUUGAAGAAACUACCUAGACUAAGGCUCAUUAUAUGCAAUGAAGACAAGAAUGACAACAUGAGCUAUCUUUUAUCACCUUCCAAGUUCAAGGAUUUUUACCAACUCAAAGAGCUAUAUAUCAUUGAUUGUGGGAUGCUUUUGGAUGAAGAGGUUUCAUGUCCUCCUAAUUUGGAAGUGUUGGUUCUAAAAAGUCUUCCCAAUUUGAAGGAGAUAGAUGUUGGGAUCUUCGCAAAGUUAAAAAUCCUAAGAUUAGAGAAACUACCUAGGCUAAGAUAUACAUUUGCUUCCCAGUUCAAGAAUUUUCACAAUCUCAAAGAGCUACACAUCAUUGAUUGUGGGAUGGAAGACGGGAGAGAUGUCAGUACUCCUAGUAAUGAUGUAGUUUUCUUCAAUGAGAAGGCUUCAUUCCUUGAAUCAAGAGCCUCCACUGUGAACAAAAUUAUGGAUGCCUUAAGAGAUGACAAUAUCAACUUGAUAAGAGUAUGGGGCACGGCCGGUGUGGGCAAAACAACACUGCUGAAACAAGUGGCUCAACAAGCUAAGCAAGAGCAGUUGUUCACCGAACAAGUUUAUAUGGAUGUAUCCUGGACUCGAGACUCGGAUAAACUUCAAGGAGUUGCUGAACUUCAACAAAAAAUUGCAAAAAAGGUGUUGGGCUUCUCACUUUGGUUGCAGGAUGAAUCCGGAAUAGCGGAUGAACUGAAGCGGAGACUGAUGAUGCAAGGGAAGAUCCUUAUUAUCUUAGAUGAUAUUUGGACGGAAAUUGACUUGGAGAAAGUAGGAAUUCCUUGUAAAGGUGAUGAGACACAAUGCAAAAUAGUGUUGGCUUCGAGAGAUGGAGACGUAUUAUGCAAAGACAUGGGCGCACAAAUAUGUUUUCAGGUGGAACCUUUGCCACCAGAAGAAGCUUGGAGUUUUUUUAAGAAGACAUCAGGUGAUUCCGUGGAAGAGGAUCUUGAACUGCGACCCAUAGCCAUUCAAGUGGUUGAAGAGUGUGAGGGUCUACCAAUUGCAAUUGUAACAAUUGCGAAGGCAUUAAAAGAUGAGACCGUGGCUGUAUGGAAGAAUGCCUUGGAACAACUCAGGAGUUGUUCACCAACAAACAUUAGAGCAGUGGAUAAGAAGGUUUACUCAUGUCUGGAGUGGAGCUACACCCAUUUGAAGGGUGAUGACGUUAAGUCGUUGUUCUUACUUUGUGGUAUGCUGGGCUAUGGUGAUAUUUCAUUGGAUCUCUUGUUUCAAUAUUGUAUGGGUUUGGAUUUGUUUGACCACAUGGAGCCAUUGGAGCAAGCAACAAAUAAACUAGUUACAAUGGUGGAAAUCCUCAAAGCCUCAGGCUUGUUACUUGAUAGUCAUAAAGAUAGACACAAUUUUGAUGAAGAAAGAGCUUCAAGUUUGCUUUUCAUGGAUGCUGAUAACAAGUUUGUGAGGAUGCACGGUGUUGUUCGUGAAGUUGCCAGAGCAAUUGCAUCCAAGGAUCCUCAUCCAUUUGUAGUUAGAGAAGAUGUUGGAUUGGGAGAAUGGUCAGAGACUGACGAAUCCAAAAGGUGCACUUUCAUCUCUUUGAAUUGCAGAGCUGUGCAUGAGCUUCCUCAAGGGUUGGUAUGUCCAGAACUUCAAUUUUUUCUAUUGCAUAACAAGAAUCCUUCCUUGAAUAUCCCAAACUCAUUUUUUGAAGCAAUGAAAAAACUCAAAGUUCUAGAUUUGCCCAAAAUGUGUUUUACAACACUACCUUCAUCCUUUGAUUCCCUUGCAAAUCUCCAAACAUUGGGUCUAAAUGGGUGCAAGUUGGUAGACAUUGCUGUAAUUGGAAAGCUAACGAAACUACAAGUUCUUAGCUUGGUGGGUUCUACAAUCCAACAAUUGCCUAAUGAAAUGGUGCAAUUGACCAAUCUAAGGCUGUUGAAUUUGAAUGAUUGCGAGGAGCUUGAAGUAAUUCCACAAAAUAUCUUAUCAAACCUGUCUCGAUUAGAAUGUUUGUACAUGACUUCUAGUUUUACUCAAUGGGCGGUUGAAGGUGAAAGCAAUGCUUGUUUAUCCGAGCUAAAUCAUUUGUCUUAUUUGACAGCUUUAGAUAUAUCUAUACCAAAUGCCAACUUGCUACCAAAAGGCAUUUUAUUUGAGAACUUGACAAGAUAUGCAAUAUUUGUAGGCAAUUUCAGGAGGUACGAUUGUAGAACCAUAAGAGUGUUGAAGCUUAGGAAAGUCAAUAGAAGCUUACAUUUGGGGGAUGGAAUUAGCAAGUUGAUGGAGAGAAGUGAAGAACUAGAGUUCAUGGAAUUAAGUGGUACUAAAUAUGUUCUUCACUCAUCUGAUAGGGAAAGUUUUCUUGAACUGAAGCAUUUUGAGGUUAGUGAUAGUCCUGAGAUUCAAUAUAUCACUGAUUCAAAGGAUCAACAGUUUCUACAACAUGGUGCCUUUCCUUCAUUGGAGUCAUUGGUUCUUCGGAAUCUGCGUAACUUGGAAGAAAUAUGGUGUGGCCCAAUUCCAAUAGGGUCUUUUGGUAAUUUAAAGACUCUGCAUGUGACUUCUUGUCGUGAAAUGAAAUUUCUCUUUUUUCUUUCCACGGCUAGAGGCCUUUCCCACCUUGAAGAAAUGACAAUAGCACAAUGCUCUCACAUGCAACAAAUAAUCGUAUAUGAAACGGAGUCAGAAAUAAAAGAAGAUGGACAUGCUGGGACCAACUUGCAAUUAUUCCCAAAAUUGCGAUCCUUGGAACUCAAGAGUCUACCACAACUCAUCAACUUCAGCUCCGAGUUAGAAACAACAUCUUCCACAUCUAUGAGGACAAAUGCAAGGUUGGAAAACUCAUUUUUCAGUCAUAAGGUUUCAUUCCCUAACUUAGAGAAGUUGAUACUCUAUGAUCUAUCCAAAUUGAAGGAUAUAUGGCAUCAUCAACUUCUAUUUGGAUCCUUUUACAAUCUACAGAUCUUAAUGGUGUAUAGAUGUCCAUGUCUACUUAAUCUUAUCCCAUCUCAUUUGAUACACAACUUCCAAAAUUUAAAAGAGACGGAUGUGCAAGAUUGUAAACUCUUAGAACAUGUGAUUGUUCCUCAAGGAAUUGACGAAAAUUUUGAGAUCCUCUUAAAGUUAGAAAUCUUGAAGUUGAAGUACCUGCCUAGGCUGAGAUGGAUCGAAGACAGGAAUGAUAGCAUGAAAUAUGUUUCCUCUCCUCUGACACUCAUGAAUAUUCAAAACCUCAAAGAAGUACAUAUCACUAAUUGUUGGAUGGAAGACCUAUAGAAGAUGUAAUACUCUUUUGUGAAAAGGUGAAAGAAACUGCAGAAAAUGCUGAUGAAGCUAUGAGAUAACUUCCAAAUGCUAAUUUGAGGAUUUGUGGAUUUAUCAUUCAAAGGUUGUUCUCCCCAAGCCUCAUAGGAAGGAAACUCCGCAUGGAGAGCUAUAUAGAAGGUACUCAUUUGCAGAUUCUAGAUGCUGAAGAAUAGAUAGGCCUGAAGCAUUUUAGGCCGGUAAAACCAUUGGGAUCUGGUGACACUGGCGGGUUUAUAUGGUUUUUCUAUUUGUUGCCCAACUUUUUGCCCCAAUUUUGUUGGAAUUAUGUUCUAUCGUAUGGCUCCUAUUUUGGAACCAAAGGAUUUAUUUCCCUUUUAGGUCUAAUUUGACUCCAUUCAUUUCUGGGUGUUGAAAUUUUUCGUUUUUGAGAAGAUGUGCUUCUGGAUAUUUAUUGUGUGCUGUUUAUCUUGAAGAAACCGCAUCUAUCAGUUGCAAUUUGCUCUUACAAGAGCAAGUUAUAGGCAUGUUUCCUCUUGAUUCUUUCAUUCUCUGUUCCCAUAUAUUUGUGUUCUCGGUUCAUGUUUCAGGAUGAAUCUAUAUUGAUAUGGUACUCUGGCAAAGAAGAGAAACAACUUAAACUAAGCAAUGUUUCAAGAAUUAUUCUUGGACAGUGUACUAUAAGUUUCUAUAAAUCAUAACCUGAGGCAACUUUUAGACCAUUCUUGAAUUCAAACUUACAUCUUGUUCUUAUGUUUUC
RNA transcript from Vitis riparia (riverbank grape), 7492 nucleotides. RefSeq lists it as uncharacterized. NCBI's taxonomy places the organism in Eukaryota, Viridiplantae, Streptophyta, Magnoliopsida, Vitales, Vitaceae. The record is from RefSeq and is a predicted model, not a curated record. The transcript has 9 exons.